AGUGGCGCAGCUAACGCACUAAGUUGACCGCCUGGGGGGUACGGCCGCAAGGUUAAAACUCAAAUGAAUUGACGGGGGCCCGCACAAGCGGUGGAGCAUGUGGUUUAAUUCGACGCAACGCGAAGAACCUUACCUGGCCUUGACAUCCAGAGAACUUUCCAGAGAUGGAUUGGUGCCUUCGGGAACUCUGUGACAGGUGCUGCAUGGCCGUCGUCAGCUCGUGUCGUGAGAUGUUGGGUUAAGUCCCGUAACGAGCGCAACCCCUAUCCCUGGUUGCUAGCAGGUAAUGCUGAGAACUCCAGGGAGACUGCCGGUGACAGACCGGAGGAAGGUGGGGAUGACGUCAGGUCAUCAUGGCCCUUACGGCCAGGGCUACACACGUGCUACAAUGGUGCGUACAGAGGGCUGCAAACUCGCGAGAGUAAGCCAAUCCCUUAAAACGCAUCGUAGUCCGGAUCGGAGUCUGCAACUCGACUCCGUGAAGUCGGAAUCGCUAGUAAUCGCGAAUCAGAAUGUCGCGGUGAAUACGUUCCCGGGCCUUGUACACACCGCCCGUCACACCAUGGGAGUGGAUUGCACCAGAAGUGGUUAGUCUAACCUUCGGGAGGACGAUCACCACGGUGUGGUUCAUGACUGGGGUG
Molecule: ribosomal RNA, 641 nt
Filed under: uncultured bacterium
Lineage: Bacteria
Description: bacterial SSU rRNA
Rfam family: Bacterial small subunit ribosomal RNA
Source: RNAcentral